CUUUCAGCUUUACGCAAUAAAUCAUAUUUGAAACCCGCCAGGUCUGGAAAGAAGCAACGGUAAAGUAUUGUUUUAUGUGCCGUAAAACCCUGAUGUUG
This 98-nucleotide signal recognition particle RNA is filed under the name Pedosphaera sp. RNAcentral's name for it is "signal recognition particle sRNA small type". It matches the Rfam family "Bacterial small signal recognition particle RNA". From Rfam's summary of the family: The signal recognition particle (SRP) is a universally conserved ribonucleoprotein involved in the co-translational targeting of proteins to membranes. Archaeal SRP consists of a 7S RNA and homologues of the eukaryotic SRP19 and SRP54 proteins. The record is from RNAcentral. Lineage: Bacteria; Pseudomonadati; Verrucomicrobiota; Pedosphaerae; Pedosphaerales; Pedosphaeraceae.